UACAGAGGGGGCAAGCGUUGUUCGGAAUUACUGGGCGUAAAGGGCGCGUAGGCGGCCUUCUAAGUCGAACGUGAAAUCCCCGGGCUCAACCCGGGAACUGCGUCCGAUACUGGAAGGCUUGAAUCCGGGAGAGGGAUGCGGAAUUCCAGGUGUAGCAGUGAAAUGCGUAGAUAUCUGGAGGAACACCGGUGGCGAAGGCGGCAUCCUGGACCGGUAUUGACGCUGAGGCGCGAAAGCCAGGGGAGCAAACGGG
Molecule: ribosomal RNA, 253 nt
Filed under: uncultured bacterium
Lineage: Bacteria
Description: partial 16S ribosomal RNA
Rfam family: Bacterial small subunit ribosomal RNA
Source: RNAcentral